GAUGAACGCUGACAGAAUGCUUAACACAUGCAAGUCGACUUGAAUUUGGGUUUUUAACUUAGGUUUGGGUGGCGGACGGGUGAGUAACGCGUAAAGAACUUGCCUCACAGCUAGGGACAACAUUUGGAAACGAAUGCUAAUACCUAAUAUUAUGAUAAUAGGGCAUCCUAUAAUUAUGAAAGCUAUAAGCGCUGUGAGAGAGCUUUGCGUCCCAUUAGCUAGUUGGAGAGGUAACGGCUCACCAAGGCGAUGAUGGGUAGCCGGCCUGAGAGGGUGAACGGCCACAAGGGGACUGAGACACGGCCCUUACUCCUACGGGAGGCAGCAGUGGAGAAUAUUGGACAAUGGACCAAGAGUCUGAUCCAGCAAUUCUGUGUGCACGAUGAAGUUUUUCGGAAUGUAAAGUGCUUUCAGUUGGGAAGAAAGAAAUGACGGUACCAACAGAAGAAGUGACGGCUAAAUACGUG
Molecule: ribosomal RNA, 467 nt
Filed under: uncultured bacterium
Lineage: Bacteria
Description: partial 16S ribosomal RNA
Rfam family: Bacterial small subunit ribosomal RNA
Source: RNAcentral